Molecule: ribosomal RNA, 164 nt
Filed under: uncultured bacterium
Lineage: Bacteria
Description: partial 16S ribosomal RNA
Rfam family: Bacterial small subunit ribosomal RNA
Source: RNAcentral
GUAGGGAAUCUUCCACAAUGGGCGAAAGCCUGAUGGAGCAACGCCGCGUGUGUGAUGAAGGGUUUCGGCUCGUAAACACUGUUGUAAGAGAAGAAUGACAUUGAGAGUAACUGUUCAAUGUGUGACGGUAUCUUACCAGAAAGGAACGGCUAAAUACGUGCCAG